GAUGAACGCUGGCGGUAUGCUUAACACAUGCAAGUCGAACGGAGUUCCUUCGGGGACUUAGUGGCGGACGGGUGAGUAACACGUGAGAACCUACCCUUAGGAUGGGGACAACAGUUGGAAACGACUGCUAAUACCCAAUGUGCCGGAAGGUGAAAGAUUUAUCGCCUAGGGAAGGGCUCGCGGCUGAUUAGCUAGUUGGUAAGGUAAAGGCUUACCAAGGCGACGAUCAGUAGCUGGUCUGAGAGGAUGAGCAGCCACACUGGGACUGAGACACGGCCCAGACUCCUACGGGAGGCAGCAGUGGGGAAUUUUCCGCAAUGGGCGAAAGCCUGACGGAGCAAUACCGCGUGUGGGAGGAAGGCUCUUGGGUUGUAAACCACUUUUCUCAGGGAAGAAUAGAUGACGGUACCUGAGGAAUAAGCAUCGGCUAACUCCGUGCCAGCAGCCGCGGUAAUACGGAGGAUGCAAGCGUUAUCCGGAAUCAUUGGGCGUAAAGCGUCCGCAGGUGGCCUAUCAAGUCUGCUGUCAAAGCGCAGAGCUCAACUCUGUAAAGGCAGUGGAAACUGAUAAGCUAGAGUUCGGUAGGGGUAGCGGGAAUUCCCAGUGUAGCGGUGAAAUGCGUAGAUAUUGGGAAGAACAUCGGUGGCGAAGGCGCGCUACUGGGCCGAAACUGACACUGAGGGACGAAAGCUAGGGGAGCGAAAGGGAUUAGAUACCCCUGUAGUCCUAGCCGUAAACGAUGGAAACUAGGCGUGGCUUG
Molecule: ribosomal RNA, 760 nt
Filed under: uncultured cyanobacterium
Lineage: Bacteria; Bacillati; Cyanobacteriota
Description: bacterial SSU rRNA
Rfam family: Bacterial small subunit ribosomal RNA
Source: RNAcentral